This 90-nucleotide transfer RNA is filed under the name Nitrospirota bacterium. Its description in RNAcentral is "tRNA-Ser". It matches the Rfam family "tRNA". Rfam says of the family: Transfer RNA (tRNA) molecules are approximately 80 nucleotides in length. Their secondary structure includes four short double-helical elements and three loops (D, anti-codon, and T loops). RNAcentral also lists the same sequence under 2 other names. The record is from RNAcentral. Lineage: Bacteria; Pseudomonadati; Nitrospirota.
GGAGGGGUGCCGGAGUGGCCGAACGGACCGGUCUUGAAAACCGGAGUCCUGGCAACGGGACCGUGGGUUCGAAUCCCACCCCCUCCGCCA